AGCUCCCCCUUGCUCAGAACUAACUCCCCCUUUCUUUGGACUCACAUCUCCCGCCUUGUUUCCCAAGUCACUAACAAGUGGAUUCAGAGGCGUUUCCGUUUCCGUAGUUGUGUGGUCAUGAUCAAACAUCAGAGACGCAUGAAGAUAAACAGGCACAACCGGUGAAACGUCUCAUCUUUGUCUGGCUGAGCAAAUGGAUACUGAUCUUCAUGAAAAACAACAUCUCUCGAGACAAACAAAUUUUC
RNAcentral lists this long non-coding RNA (245 nucleotides) under Brassica napus (rape). Its description in RNAcentral is "long non-coding RNA (BNAP_LNC006244)". Lineage: Eukaryota; Viridiplantae; Streptophyta; Magnoliopsida; Brassicales; Brassicaceae. The record is from RNAcentral.